CUCUGGGGCCACCAGUCUCUUGAGUGUUAGUUGCAACUUCUCUGAGUCCAGACACUACAGUCCUCUGCUGUAUAUAUGUCGGGGGACUCAUAUCAACUGGUAUAUCCUGCCUGGAUGAUGGCUCCCAGUUUGAGAGAACUCCGGGCUCCAGCCAGAAGCUCAGCAUGACUAUCCUAUGGGAGGAUCUACUACAGUGGACUAAGACUCAUGAAGAUAUAUGCAUCCAGCAAUAGGACUAAGGACCAUUUGCAUGGAACAUGCUUUUUGAAUCUUUUAACCUGAGGUAAAAAUCACAUCUUGAUAUUGAAGUGUGUUUGUUGUAUUCAGUAAAGGAUGGAUCCUGACCUCACAUCCAACCCAUUAAUCUGUGUCAUUUAAUAAUAGAAUUAAGGCCAUUGUUAUUGAAAGAUAUCAAUGCCCAGUGCCCACUGAUUGCUAAUUUCUAUUAUGUUCAUUAUGUUCUUGUUGUUGAUGGUAUUGUUAUGGGUUUUCUGUGUGUGUGUGUGUAUGUGUGUUUUCUUUUGGUUUUGCUUAUGUGAGGUUAUUUAUUUGCUGUAAUUUUUGAUGUGUGUUGUUAACCCCCUUAUCAUAACUUUUUCUCUAGUAUCUUCGGUGGGGCUAAAUUUCUAAAUACAUAUUGCUGAAAUUUGAAUUUAUCAUUCAGUAUUUUAAUUUCUUCCUGCAGGAUGUACAGGGAGUCUUACUAUUGGGGCCUUUCCUUGAAGAGUCUCUUAGAGUUGUUUCUAUCAGCAUGGAUUCAGAGGAGAUAAGGAGUCAUAGAGAGAAGUAGAUGAGUCAAGUGAUGAUCAAGUGAAUUUAGCAUCUCUGUGUCACUAGCAAUCAGGAAAAAUCUGAGGCCAUAACUAACUAGGAAACAGGUGAUUCUUUAUUAUACAAGAAUCACAGAACACAGAGAUUCUAAUAAUUAUCCAAGUGGUAGAAUUUAGGUGUUUCAUUUUUUAUUAUAUGGCCAGGGUUACAGUUUGAUUUACGUUGAGAACAUACAAACAGAACAGAUUAUGUUCUCAUUAUCCCUACACCUCCAAUUUAUGUAAUCUAAUCAAUGACUUCAGCAAAGCAAACACAUUCAGUAUUUGACAGCCUACCUGUAUGUGAGCAAUAUUUGCAGUUUUAAAGCAUUCCAGACGAAUAGAAAAUAUACAAACACCUUUUUUUUUUUUGUGGGAAGCCACAUGUGCCAUUGCAUGGUGGCGCUGGCUACCA
This is a long non-coding RNA of Mus musculus (house mouse), 1224 nucleotides long. RefSeq annotates it as predicted gene, 39047. Lineage: Eukaryota; Metazoa; Chordata; Mammalia; Rodentia; Muridae. The transcript is spliced from 3 exons. The record is from RefSeq and is a predicted model, not a curated record.